This 460-nucleotide ribosomal RNA is filed under the name uncultured bacterium. Its description in RNAcentral is "partial 16S ribosomal RNA". It matches the Rfam family "Bacterial small subunit ribosomal RNA", at positions 338 to 795 of the family's 1533-position model. The record is from RNAcentral.
CCUACGGGUGGCAGCAGUGAGGAAUAUUGGUCAAUGGACGGAAGUCUGAACCAGCCAUGCCGCGUGCGGGAAGACGGCUCUGUGAAUUGUAAACUGCUUUUGUCCGAGGGUAAACCUUAAUACGUGUAUUCGGCUGAACGUACUGUACGAAUAAGGAUCGGCUAACUCCGUGCCAUCAGCCGCGGUAAUACGGAGGAUCCAAGCGUUAGUCGGAAUAACUGGGCGUAAAGGGUGCGUAGGCGGUUAAAAAAGUUAUCUGGUAAAUAUACAGGCUUAAACUGUAGCAAGCAUGUAAAACUGUUGAACUAGAGUGCAGGAGAGGUAAGUGGAAUGCCUGGUGUAGCGGUGAAAUGCGUAGAGAUUAGGAAGAACACCAGUGGCGAAGGCGACUUACCGGACUGUAACUGACGCUGAGGCAUGAGAGCAUGGGGAGCAAACAGGAUUAGAUACCCGAGUAGUC